AUUUAAAUAGUUUAAGCAAAAAUUUUGAUUUGUGGUGUCAAGGAUAUGAAUUUAUUCAUUUUAAAUA
This 67-nucleotide transfer RNA is filed under the name Drepanepteryx phalaenoides. RNAcentral's name for it is "tRNA-His". The record is from RNAcentral. Lineage: Eukaryota; Metazoa; Arthropoda; Insecta; Neuroptera; Hemerobiidae.